UAUUCCACGCUGGGUUAAAUA
This is a non-coding RNA of Caenorhabditis elegans, 21 nucleotides long. NCBI's taxonomy places the organism in Eukaryota, Metazoa, Nematoda, Chromadorea, Rhabditida, Rhabditidae. The record is from Ensembl.